UGUCUGCUCACAACUAUCUGUCAGUCAGUU
RNAcentral lists this non-coding RNA (30 nucleotides) under Rattus norvegicus (Norway rat). The record is from RNAcentral. Lineage: Eukaryota; Metazoa; Chordata; Mammalia; Rodentia; Muridae.